RNAcentral lists this ribosomal RNA (1321 nucleotides) under Pediococcus pentosaceus. RNAcentral describes it as "bacterial SSU rRNA". It matches the Rfam family "Bacterial small subunit ribosomal RNA", at positions 83 to 1392 of the family's 1533-position model. The record is from RNAcentral. Lineage: Bacteria; Bacillati; Bacillota; Bacilli; Lactobacillales; Lactobacillaceae.
AACACGAAGUGAGUGGCGAACGGGUGAGUAACACGUGGGUAACCUGCCCAGAAGUAGGGGAUAACACCUGGAAACAGAUGCUAAUACCGUAUAACAGAGAAAACCGCAUGGUUUUCUUUUAAAAGAUGGCUCUGCUAUCACUUCUGGAUGGACCCGCGGCGUAUUAGCUAGUUGGUGAGGUAAAGGCUCACCAAGGCAGUGAUACGUAGCCGACCUGAGAGGGUAAUCGGCCACAUUGGGACUGAGACACGGCCCAGACUCCUACGGGAGGCAGCAGUAGGGAAUCUUCCACAAUGGACGCAAGUCUGAUGGAGCAACGCCGCGUGAGUGAAGAAGGGUUUCGGCUCGUAAAGCUCUGUUGUUAAAGAAGAACGUGGGUAAGAGUAACUGUUUACCCAGUGACGGUAUUUAACCAGAAAGCCACGGCUAACUACGUGCCAGCAGCCGCGGUAAUACGUAGGUGGCAAGCGUUAUCCGGAUUUAUUGGGCGUAAAGCGAGCGCAGGCGGUCUUUUAAGUCUAAUGUGAAAGCCUUCGGCUCAACCGAAGAAGUGCAUUGGAAACUGGGAGACUUGAGUGCAGAAGAGGACAGUGGAACUCCAUGUGUAGCGGUGAAAUGCGUAGAUAUAUGGAAGAACACCAGUGGCGAAGGCGGCUGUCUGGUCUGCAACUGACGCUGAGGCUCGAAAGCAUGGGUAGCGAACAGGAUUAGAUACCCUGGUAGUCCAUGCCGUAAACGAUGAUUACUAAGUGUUGGAGGGUUUCCGCCCUUCAGUGCUGCAGCUAACGCAUUAAGUAAUCCGCCUGGGGAGUACGACCGCAAGGUUGAAACUCAAAAGAAUUGACGGGGGCCCGCACAAGCGGUGGAGCAUGUGGUUUAAUUCGAAGCUACGCGAAGAACCUUACCAGGUCUUGACAUCUUCUGACAGUCUAAGAGAUUAGAGGUUCCCUUCGGGGACAGAAUGACAGGUGGUGCAUGGUUGUCGUCAGCUCGUGUCGUGAGAUGUUGGGUUAAGUCCCGCAACGAGCGCAACCCUUAUUACUAGUUGCCAGCAUUAAGUUGGGCACUCUAGUGAGACUGCCGGUGACAAACCGGAGGAAGGUGGGGACGACGUCAAAUCAUCAUGCCCCUUAUGACCUGGGCUACACACGUGCUACAAUGGAUGGUACAACGAGUCGCGAGACCGCGAGGUUAAGCUAAUCUCUUAAAACCAUUCUCAGUUCGGACUGUAGGCUGCAACUCGCCUACACGAAGUCGGAAUCGCUAGUAAUCGCGGAUCAGCAUGCCGCGGUGAAUACGUUCCCGGGCCUUGUACACACCG